UUUAUAUCUUUGGUAUAAAUAAUUGUUAGAGGCAGACGGGUGAGUAAUGCGUAGGAAUCUACCUAGUAGUAUGGAAUAGCCAUUAGAAAUGAUGGGUAAUACUGUAUAAUCCCUGCGGGGGAAAGAUUUAUCGCUAUUAGAUGAGCCUACGUUAGAUUAGCUAGUUGGUAAGGUAAUGGCUUACCAAGGCUAUGAUCUAUAGCUGGUCUGAGAGGACGAUCAGCCACACUGGAACUGAGAUACGGUCCAGACUCCUACGGGAGGCAGCAGUGGGGAAUAUUGGACAAUGGGCGAAAGCCUGAUCCAGCUAUGCCGCGUGAGUGAAGAAGGCCUUCGGGUUGUAAAGCUCUUUCAAUAGGGAAGAUAAUGACGGUACCUAUAGAAGAAGUCCCG
Molecule: ribosomal RNA, 393 nt
Filed under: Ehrlichia sp.
Lineage: Bacteria; Pseudomonadati; Pseudomonadota; Alphaproteobacteria; Rickettsiales; Anaplasmataceae
Description: bacterial SSU rRNA
Rfam family: Bacterial small subunit ribosomal RNA
Source: RNAcentral